Long non-coding RNA from Mytilus trossulus (common blue mussel), 1096 nucleotides. RefSeq lists it as uncharacterized. The record is from RefSeq and is a predicted model, not a curated record. Lineage: Eukaryota; Metazoa; Mollusca; Bivalvia; Mytilida; Mytilidae. The transcript is spliced from 3 exons.
CGCACUUUUACCGCCUGAAUUUUGAAAACAGUGAUAGUUGCAGUGAAAUAUUUAUCUCGAUUCAGAUUCCAGAACAAAGAAAAAGAAUCUUGUAUAAAAAUCCACAGAUCCAAUGUGUGAACAUGUGUCUGAGGUUGUGGAAUGCAUUGCAGUUACAAUACUUACAAUAGACAGGAAACCAACACAAGACCAGCUGAUGAGAGGGCAGAAAACCAAAACUUUGAAUGCCAUGUAUACAACCAACACAAGACAAGAAUUUGGAAUAAAAUUUCAAAAAAUCAGAAACAUACUAUUAUUUUAUUAUUGGUUCAUGUACAUAAGAAAAAAGAAGUCCUAACUUUUGGAUAGGUCUUUCUCUGGUUGGUCAAUGGAAAAAAGCAACAGUUAGUUUGAUUGAAUUUCAGUUAUUUUCUUCAUUUUGGGAUAUUUUUAGAAGUGUGUAUAAGUUGGUGGUGUGGUCUAGUGGGAUGGCUGCUGUGCAGGCAAUUUGGUGUCACGAUAUCAUAGUAGCAUGAAAUGAAUCUCGGCGAGGGAAGAACAAAUAAUUUGUGAAAGCAAAUUUACAGACCUAACAUUGUUAGGUUGAUGUUUCGACGAGUUGUAAAAGUUGUGUAGAAAUAUAUAUUUGUAAACUACAGACUUUGGGGACUUUUCCAAACAUUUUUCGUAGCCUUUUCUUGUGUAGGGAAUCCAGCUGAAUUAUUCUACAGUAAAUAUUAAGGUAUAUGUGGUAGUUUUUUGUACUUCUGAAUAAUUCAUUAAAAAUGUUUCCAUUGUCAAAAUGAAAUCUACAUUCUAGAAUUUCCACCAUCAUAAAGUGAAAUUAUUAGUCUAGGACACUGAAACCCUAAACAUUUAGAAGUUGCAGCAUGUACCAAAGUGUCAUGUUGAAGGCUGUACAUUUACCAUAAUUGCUAACAUAUUUAAUAUUUGAUUUUAGGAAAGAGGGUUGUCUCAUUGGCCAUCAUACAAAAUCUCGCCUUUUGAAUAGUAUUAUGUGUUAAAUUUUUGAAGGAAAGUUGCUUUUGUUAAAUGGAAAUGUGUAUAUCUUGUACUUCAGUAUUGCAACAAAUAAAACUUAGACUUUAACCUUAAA